CCAGCAGAGAAAAAAUUAGUCAUCUUUGACAAAAUUUUUACUGCAUAUCAUGAAGCUAGAAGCUCCAUUCGCAGUGACUUGGUGAGUGCAGGUAAUGCCGAUAGUGUAAAAGAUGACUUGAGUGGCCUUGAUAAAGCAGUUAGUGCUGUAUUAGGACAACGGACAAUUGAGCGUAACCAGUUGUUGGUUACCAUUGCAAAGAGUAAACUUACUAGGUGCCGUGAUGACAAAAAUGAGAAAGUUACCAAGCCUGAGGAGCUUGUUCGCUUGUAUGAUCUUUUGUUGCAGAACACAUCUGAUCUUUCUGACUUAGUU
This 315-nucleotide unclassified non-coding RNA is filed under the name Hevea brasiliensis (rubber tree). Lineage: Eukaryota; Viridiplantae; Streptophyta; Magnoliopsida; Malpighiales; Euphorbiaceae. The record is from RNAcentral.